Molecule: transfer RNA, 88 nt
Filed under: bacterium
Lineage: Bacteria
Also listed under: 3 other names
Description: tRNA-Ser
Rfam family: tRNA
About the family: Transfer RNA (tRNA) molecules are approximately 80 nucleotides in length. Their secondary structure includes four short double-helical elements and three loops (D, anti-codon, and T loops). Further hydrogen bonds mediate the characteristic L-shaped molecular structure. tRNAs have two regions of fundamental functional importance: the anti-codon, which is responsible for specific mRNA codon recognition, and the 3' end, to which the tRNAs corresponding amino acid is attached (by aminoacyl-tRNA synthetases). tRNAs cope with the degeneracy of the genetic code in two manners: having more than one tRNA (with a specific anti-codon) for a particular amino acid; and 'wobble' base-pairing, i.e. permitting non-standard base-pairing at the 3rd anti-codon position.
Source: RNAcentral
GGAGAGAUGGCCGAGUGGUUUAAGGCGCACGCCUGGAACGCGUGUUGAGUGCAAGCUCUCGCAGGUUCGAAUCCUGUUCUCUCCGCCA